GGCAAAAAGGCCGAUUAGCGCCCGCGGGUCUCGAACCCCCGGAGGGGCUGGUGGUUCAACAUGCAUGAAGGAAAGAAGUAACCGCUGAGCUAGAGCCGGCCCGACAGCAAGUUGCCUCUGCGGGCCCUAAGAGUUCUCCAGGGGGCGUGGCCAAGCAAAUGACUAAAGCCAGAAGUUAAAUGUCAUAGGUCCAUUAAGUUGCCAACCCUGAGGCGGGUCCUCAAAGGGGACAGGCCAACCCGGCGCCGACCGCGAGGGCCUGGCUGGGGGCGGGCUUUGGACGCCAGGCCGAUGCCGCUGAGCCCGGGCAGCUGAGCGGCGGACAGGUCUCCAGGCUCCUCGGAACCCGCAGGGCGCCGAUGAAAGCCCAGCCUUCUUGGGAAGAAGUUUCUUUCCCGCGGUGCGGGGAGGCGCGUGGCGUAUCCCGGUGUCUGCGGCUCGGAGCUUCCCGCUGAUGCGGCUGGUCCCCGCCCGCUCAGGGAAGGGGGCUGGGGAGAGGCGAAGAAACCCGGCUGGCCAGGAGGAGCCAAAGCGCCCCCUAGAGCGGGAUGCUGCAGCGGGGAAAUAAUGCGUGGAAGCUCCUCCUUGCAGGGUGGUUGGGGGCCAGGUUACUCCACCACCGUCCCUGGCUGUUGACUUCUCCAGCAUUUGUGCCUCCAGAGGCGGCGGGGCUCAAAUUAUUAAAAUAAUACCCUUGUGUGUAUGUACAUCAUUACUACACAAAUUAUGGAAUGUUUAUAAACUCCCCUCCCUCUGAAACGAGUUGGGCUUGUUUUAAAAGGCAGUGCCACUUUUGUGGGUGGGCGGGGUGAGAGUUGGCAAUGCUCCCCUUCCCCCCCAGUCACCACCCAAGCCCCGGCCGCAGCCCUAUGCAGCACUGGGGAGGACACCCCCUUGGCCUCCCUAGCCCCUCCGCUCCCCUAGCUGCCUUGCUGUGCCCCCUCAAUCCCUCGCCUUGCUCCUCUUCCUUCCCCCCCUCAUUGGGCCCCUCUGCUCCCAGCACCAUUUGGGGGCACUUGCUCCCCCCGUUUUCCUUCCACAUGGUAAUUUGACGAACCACAUGCCUAUCUAAAAUGUGAGGUUUGUGCCAUCGUGUUUAUUUUGCCGCUUUUCCCAGACUGUUCCUACAAAUCCUGCAAUCCACGACCACCUCAUGACGCUCUUCAUUCGGCAGGAAGUUUCCUAGCUCACGCUACCACUUCUUGAAUUGAAACGGUCCCGUGUCUACACUGGAGGGUGGAAGAAUCCCCCUUUUCUGACGUGGGUUUCCCUUCUCUCUGUUUUUUUCCCCAGAGUACAAUCACCAGCACCGCAGCAGAAUAUUGUAUAAUUUGUUAAAAAGAAAGGCCCCUAAUGACGAAAAUUGUGACAAUGAAGAACCAUCCUUGAAAAUGAACUGUGUAAAUGCUUCCUCAAGUAACAUUUUCCUGCAGUCAAUACAGAAAAACCAGACUGGGUAAUGAUCCGUGUGUCAGUGUAUCAAAGGACAUCCUUAGGUGUGUAGUUGGUGGCCAAUGUGCUCUGACAUCACCAGCGGGGGCAGAAUGUUUUGUUAAACAGAGUUUACCUGUUCAUGACAGGAAAACAACCUUUCUACGGCCAUAGAUAUUUUGCUGAACAAAGAGGAACAACCAGUACAGCCUAAGAUGAAUAGCCUUCUACAAAUGGUUGACAUUUCAACUGUGGUUGGUUUUCUUUGUACCCCUUCAUUGAAUACUCAGUUGUAGAGGAUUCUGUUUUUUGCUUUCCAUGCCGUCACUUUGCUUCUCAAACCACAAUUGGACCAGGAGAGCAAUUCAACAACAGAAAGAUUCAUUGACCGUGGCUUUAAGAAAUGGAAAGAUUUUCAUAGUUUGUUUAAAACAACAUUCACUCAGUUCCAGGCAUCAUGCAGCUUUCAUUUCAUGGUAAAAGUACUUCACAAUUAGGAUCAGCGGUUUGAAAAGUGUCGCAGAUCAAUUUGUUUCCAGUCGUCAGGCUAUCAUAGCUGAAAAUCGCCAGCAUGUUGAAACACUCUUAAAGGUCUCCAUGCUCUGUGCAAAACUGGGUAUUGCUUUUUGGGGGCAUGAUGAAACACACAACUCUAGCAAUAAAGAAAAUGUCAUUGAAAUUCUUGAGCUGGUUGCUUCUGCUCAGCCCAGCCUUUUGAAUCAACUAAGAAGCAGGUAUGAACACUAUACCUCUCACCAGUACCAGAACGAUUUGAUACAUUCUGCUGCAGAGAAAAUGUUGUUGAAGAGGUCAGACAAGCCAAGUAUUUUUCUGUCCUUGUUGAUGAAACUAAAGAUGCAUCAAAAAAAGAACAGCCAUGUCUCCUUUUAUGCUACCACCGAAAAGGAAUCAUUCAGGAAAGAUCUGUGGAUUGCUUCCACAUGGAAAAUCUAAAUGCUGAAUUUGUUUCAAAAAGGACAGCGUUUGAAGCUUCAUAUUAGUUACAUCGUUGCCCAAUGCUAUGAUGCAGCUCCUGUGCUGAGUGGGCAUUUAACAGAAAUACAAGCUUGCAUCCAGGAAACGAUUACACAUGCCAUUUAUGUGCACUGCCAUGCUCACAGGCUUAAUCUUGUCAUUGCAAGCACAUGUUCCAGCAUCACGCAAUGUCAGGAAAUCUUUGCGUUUGCUGAGGACCUGUGCUGCUACUUUAGCAGUAGUUGCAAGCACCAUGAACGGUUUAAGGAAGAGCAGGAGCUAGGCCAGAAGGUGCUUGAGCUAGGUAGAUUAUGUGAAACUCGCUCGUGCUGGUUUAACUCCUUCCAAAAACUGCAUGCAGGAUGGAAACACUGGGAGCUAUUUCUGUUCAGAGAGCUGAUGGCCCCAUCGGCUAGCACUGCCAAAGGUUUGAUGGUAAGGCAAAAGAGCUAAACCUUUCUGUUGAGGCUCUUGGUUUUGGGAAGAAUAUUCAAGAUUUUGAAUAGCAUUUCAGAAUUACAAAAUGAAAACCUGAAUUAAUCUAAUGCCAUGGAAUUAGUAGAAAUCAAUGUUGCUGCUCUUCAAGAAAUGAGAACAUCUGAAAGCAAAUGGAAAGACCUACAUGAUGAAACUGAAAGCAUUGCCAAGGAAUUUGAAAUUGCUACUCCAGGUCAGGCAGUCGCAACUGCUGAGCACAGCCAUACAAAAACAGCAAUAAGACCUAAAAAAAAACACCAAACAAAAAACCUGCAAGCUGGCAUUGUUGUUUGUGUCUAGUACACAGGGUCAGUCAUCUCCACAUUAUGUUCCCAAGAGCACUCCUGAAUCUAUAAAAUCUGAUUUUUACUAUUCUGUUUUGGACAGAAUUCUUGCAGAGCUCGAUAGACGAUUCACCUCCAACUCCAGUCUGCUUUCUGCACUAACUGCACAUGACCCAAACAGUGAAAAUUUUCUUGCAUAGGAGAAACUGAAAAUGAUUGCAGAUCACUAUGGCUCAACAGGCACCAAUUUUGACAGUCUGGACUUCGAUUUCUGAAUUCUGGAAUGUUCUCAUGGGCUUACCAGUCUUUGCUGUCUAUUGUAGAUAUUGUGUUGAGCCUUCCAGUGUCUACAGCAUCAAAUGGAGAGGUACUUCUCUGUGCUCAGAGUGUAAAGAACUACUUAGGAUCCACAAUGGGAGACAAGUGCUUAGGUGACUUGGUAAUUUUAGCCUGUGAAGGUGAAGCUUCAGAACACCUGAAUAUCAACGAGGCCAUUGACCAUUUUACCAAGAUGAGACGACGGCGUUAUCCAUUGCGUUAGCUCCUAUCUGGAGUGUUUUGUUUUCAGUAAUUUAUUUACCUGUAAAGAAAUUAACUGUCUCAUUCACCUCUUCACAAAUUGGAAUAUAAGACAUUUAAAAACCAACAACAAUUGCAGGGGUAAGCAGAUUUUAUUUUUAUUAAUUUAUCUCUACGAAGAGUGUACAAAGUAUCAAACUUGUUUCUGAUAUCUGUGUUAAGGCUCCAGAACUGAUAUCUCAAGGUGUGGGAUUGGGAAUAUCUUGCUGUAUUAUGUUCCGAUUGCUCUAAAUUGACAUAUAAAUUUAAAAUGUCUAUAA
Chelonia mydas (Green sea turtle) is the source of this 4006-nucleotide long non-coding RNA. RefSeq lists it as uncharacterized. The record is from RefSeq and is a predicted model, not a curated record. Lineage: Eukaryota; Metazoa; Chordata; Testudines; Cheloniidae. The transcript is spliced from 2 exons.